AUGCUCUGGUUUCUCUUCAAAUCGCAUAAAUCUUUCGCCUUUUACUAAAGAUUUCCGUGGAGAGAAACAAUUAUGAGUCUUUACCCAAAUUUUUUGAGGCCUCGUUUUGAGGCU
The sequence is a small nuclear RNA, 114 nucleotides long. Its record names the gene U5. It matches the Rfam family "U5 spliceosomal RNA". From Rfam's summary of the family: U5 RNA is a component of both types of known spliceosome. The precise function of this molecule is unknown, though it is known that the 5' loop is required for splice site selection and p220 binding, and that both the 3' stem-loop and the Sm site are important for Sm protein binding and cap methylation. The record is from Ensembl.